This 409-nucleotide long non-coding RNA is filed under the name Chrysemys picta bellii (western painted turtle). Its description in RNAcentral is "lncRNA (ENSCPBG00000018773.1)". Lineage: Eukaryota; Metazoa; Chordata; Testudines; Emydidae. The record is from RNAcentral.
AUGGCUGGGGGCUGACACUGCACUUCCUGUGUUUGUCACUUUUCUGAGCGAAGCAGAGACGGGGCCACUAGCUGAGCUAAGAACCCAGCUCCCACCCCAGAGCAACCGGCUCCGCAUGGCGCUAACUCUCCUUCUGCCAGUGCUGGCUUGACUCCCGACUGUCCCACGGCUGGUCCCACCUGCAGUUCCGGAGCCUUCGCAAUAUCUGAGGGGAUCUGAGCCCGGGAAAGGUGAUGGGGAACUGGACUCCAGGAGGUGCCAUGAGGAAUUGAAACCCAGCAGUGUCAGAGUGGACCUACCGGGAGAGGGCUCCGAUGUGUACACACUCCGGACAGUCCCCUCCUCUGUGACGCCCUGAGCACCAGGGAAGCAGAAUGGAGCCUCGGGAACGAAAGAGGUGCUGUGCCAU